GAUGGAUAUGGUUUAUUUAUAACGCUUGGCGACCGAAACCGAACCGAACUGAACCGAACCUCAUCAUCCUCUCCAUCGCAUCGCCAACCUCAUCAUCGCCAUCGGAAUUCCGACGACGUCGAGCAGCUCGCACAAUGAGUGCGGACGUGUAUCUGAGUAUCUGCAAGAUACCCAUACUCGCACUCACUCACUCACUCGCUCGCUGGCCGCGUUCGAUAAACUUACCCGACGCAAUUACAACAAAAGUGGAUGCCACAUGCCCACGCUUCAAAAGAGCAACAACAAGAGCGAUAAAUAAAAACAACGAUCAACAAGCAACAAACAAACAACAACGGCAGCAACAACGACAACAACGAGAAAAGUGCGUUGUACAUAAACGAAAUCGAAACGAAACGAAUAAUAAAUGAGAGGAAGAAGGAACGACAAUACUUUAUAUAGUUGAAUGACUGAACGAACCCGUCAACCACACCAACAACGAAAAAAUUAACACACAAAAAAUACUUAUGCGCAAUAACAACAACAACAACGUUGCCUCUUUGCCAACCAAAUUACCUUAAAAACACCAAACAAGCUGAAAAAAAAUGGAAAACACAAGCCAACAAAAAAUCUGAAAAUAAAAAUACGUUAAACGAAAUAAGAUGAAUACCAAACAAAUAAAAAAUUUAUGCGUUGCA
Molecule: long non-coding RNA, 674 nt
Organism: Drosophila biarmipes
Lineage: Eukaryota; Metazoa; Arthropoda; Insecta; Diptera; Drosophilidae
Exons: 2
Source: RefSeq, a predicted model, not a curated record